GCCCCUAUAAGGUGGCGGGGGGAAGCCCGGCGAACCAGUUUUGGCUGGGUCUCACCAAGACCUAGAGAAGGAGGCGCGCAUGCGUGGACCUUAACCUCUUCUCUGCCCAGUUUGAGGGGCAGAUAGCGCCCUCUGUCUUCCCGGGAGAUCAACAAGAGAAAGAAAGAGGCAAACGGAAAUUCCUGAAUGGAGAGACAGAUGCUACGUCAUCAGAGCUGCAUCCUCCCCUCCGCUGGAGGCUAGGAGCCCAGGGGAGACGCAGUCCAGCCACGGGGGCCACCGAGCAGUCUGCCCUCACAGGAGCCUGGUGCUGGGCAUCCAAGAAGCCUGUUUGUUUCUGGCGUCAUCGUGCCCCAACCAGGGAUCAAACCUGAAACUUGGGCAGGUGCCCUGACCGGGAAUCGAACCUGCAACCCUUUGAUGCACGGGACAAUGCUCCAAUCAACUGAGCCACACCAGCCAGGGCAAGGAGGAAAUUCUAGGAUCUUGCUUAUUUCUAUCUUGGGAAGUCCUUCCCAAUGUCUAACCAAGAUCCGUGCUGCUGACACACCAGUUCUUUGACCCUGGGCUUGACAUGACGGAUGUGAAAGGUUUUGAAGCCCUUGGAGAAGUGAGCUGUGGGGCCUCCUAAGCUGCUGGCUUCCAACCCCAGACGGGGCGGGAAAGGAAUGACUUCCCCACAGCGGUGCAUCCAACUCCUGGCUUCUGCGCAGACCCUCAUUGGGCCCUUUCCUGGGCACAGCUCCCACACCCCAGGAGGGAAGGAACUGGCCUUGGUCAGGUGCCUACUUGCCUGUACCAAAGAGAAGAACCUGCUUCACCAGUUGGCCUGGGUUUCCUCUAAGAAGCCUUCCUGGAUUGACUGAAAGAUGAGGCUAAAUUCUCCUAAGUUGACUGCCUCCUCCAAGAAGUCUUUGAGGGGGAUGGAAGUGGGGAGGCACAGCCCACCACCCCUGGAGCCCCUGGGACAAGACUUGGCUUCACCCUUGCUCCCGUUCCAUCCCAUCCUGGUUCCUCCUGUGCCGUCUGAGCUGAGAUUCCUCUGAGAUGGAAGUCCCAUCUCCUGCCUAAUAAAGACUCUUGACUACUGAA
Eptesicus fuscus (big brown bat) is the source of this 1092-nucleotide long non-coding RNA. RefSeq lists it as uncharacterized. NCBI's taxonomy places the organism in Eukaryota, Metazoa, Chordata, Mammalia, Chiroptera, Vespertilionidae. The record is from RefSeq and is a predicted model, not a curated record. The transcript is spliced from 7 exons.